This 500-nucleotide ribosomal RNA is filed under the name uncultured bacterium. Its description in RNAcentral is "partial 16S ribosomal RNA". It matches the Rfam family "Bacterial small subunit ribosomal RNA", at positions 30 to 523 of the family's 1533-position model. The record is from RNAcentral.
AUUGAACGCUGGCGGCAGGCCUAACACAUGCAAGUCGAGCGGAUGAUGGUAGCUUGCUACCUGAUUCAGCGGCGGACGGGUGAGUAAUGCCUAGGAAUCUGCCUGGUAGUGGGGGACAACGUUUCGAAAGGAACGCUAAUACCGCAUACGUCCUACGGGAGAAAGUGGGGGAUCUUCGGACCUCACGCUAUCAGAUGAGCCUAGGUACGAUUAGCUAGGUGGUGAGGUAAAGGCUCACCAAGGCGACGAUCGUUAACUGGUCUGAGAGGAUGAUCAGUCACACUGGAACUGAGACACGGGCCAGACUCCUACGGGAGGCAGCAGUGGGGAAUAUUGGACAAUGGGCGAAAGCCUGAUCCAGCCAUGCCGCGUGUGUGAAGAAGGUCUUCGGAUUGUAAAGCACUUUAAGUUGGGAGGAAGGGCAGUAAGUUAAUACCUUGCUGUUUUGACGUUACCGACAGAAUAAGCACCGGCUAACUUCGUGCCAGCAGCCGCGGUAA